GACGAACGCUGGCGGCGUGCUUAACACAUGCAAGUCGAACGGAAAGGCCCUGCUUUUGUGGGGUGCUCGAGUGGCGAACGGGUGAGUAACACGUGAGUAACCUGCCCUUGACUUUGGGAUAACUUCAGGAAACUGGGGCUAAUACCGGAUAGCAGCUGCUGCUGCAUGGUGAGGGUUGGAAAGUUUCAGCGGUUGGGGCUGGACUCGCGGCUUAUUAGCUUGUGGGGGGGGUAGUGGCAUAGGCAGGCUUUGGCGGGUAGCCGGCCUGGGAGGGUGACCGGCCACAUUGGGCCUGCGAUACGGCCCAGACUGCUACGGGAGGCAGCGGUGGAGAAUAUUGCACAAUGGGCGGAAGCCUGAUGCAGCAUCUCCGCGUGCGGAAUGACGGCCUUCGGGUUAUAAACCGCUUUCGCCUGUGACGAAGCGUGAGUGACGGUAAUGGGUAAAGAAGCACCGGCUAACUACGUG
Molecule: ribosomal RNA, 468 nt
Filed under: uncultured bacterium
Lineage: Bacteria
Description: partial 16S ribosomal RNA
Rfam family: Bacterial small subunit ribosomal RNA
Source: RNAcentral